UACGGAGGGGGCUAGCGUUGUUCGGAAUGACUGGGCGUAAAGGGCGCGUAGGCGGUUUUUUAAGUGAGGCGUGAAAGCCCUGGGCUUAACCCAGGAGGUGCGUUUCAUACUGGAAGACUUGAGUGCGAGAGAGGAAAGUGGAAUCCCUAGUGUAGAGGUGAAAUUCGUAGAUAUUAGGAAGAACACCUGUGGCGAAGGCGGCUUUCUGGCUCGCAACUGACGCUGAGGUGCGAAAGCGUGGGGAGCAAACAGG
Molecule: ribosomal RNA, 253 nt
Filed under: uncultured bacterium
Lineage: Bacteria
Description: partial 16S ribosomal RNA
Rfam family: Bacterial small subunit ribosomal RNA
Source: RNAcentral